Molecule: long non-coding RNA, 315 nt
Organism: Corvus hawaiiensis (hawaiian crow)
Lineage: Eukaryota; Metazoa; Chordata; Aves; Passeriformes; Corvidae
Exons: 5
Source: RefSeq, a predicted model, not a curated record
CCCAAGGAGCCCGGCCCUCUUAGGAGAUGCCAACUAAGAGACAACGGCCUGGUAACGGCUGGAACUUCCCAGAUGGCGAGGUGGCCUUCUUUCACACCUGAUGCAGAUUUGCAUCCCCGGACAGCCGAGAGACGCAGAUCGAUUAUAUCUGUGGCGGAGCGCUCCAUACCAGGUGGUAAAGCCGGAUCUUAGCAGUCAGUGUCGAGUGAGCGAGGCGGUCCACUUGCAUUACGCCGAACCCCCUCGCAGAACGGCCGACGGACCCGGCUCGCCGCCCUCGUGACCCCUCCGCAAGUAUCGCAAAGCUCUGCGAUG